AGCGAACGCUGGCGGCAGGCCUAACACAUGCAAGUCGAGCGCCCGUAGCAAUACGGGAGCGGCAGACGGGAGAGUAACACGUGGGAACGUACCCUUCAGUUCGGAACAACCCAGGGAAACUUGGGCUAAUACCGGAUACGUCCGUAAGGAGAAAGAUUUAUCGCUGAAGGAUCGGCCCCGCGUCUGAUUAGCUAGUUGGUGGGGUAAUGGCCCACCAAGGCGACGAUCAGUAGCUGGUCGAGAGGAUGAUCAGCCACAUUGGGACUGAGACACGGCCCAAACUCCUACGGGAGGCAGCAGUGGGGAAUAUUGGACAAUGGGCGCAAGCCUGAUCCAGCCAUGCCGCGUGAGUGAUGAAGG
Molecule: ribosomal RNA, 360 nt
Filed under: uncultured bacterium
Lineage: Bacteria
Description: bacterial SSU rRNA
Rfam family: Bacterial small subunit ribosomal RNA
Source: RNAcentral